This 497-nucleotide ribosomal RNA is filed under the name uncultured bacterium. RNAcentral's name for it is "partial 16S ribosomal RNA". It matches the Rfam family "Bacterial small subunit ribosomal RNA", at positions 28 to 507 of the family's 1533-position model. The record is from RNAcentral.
GAUGAACGCUGGCGGCGUGCCUAAUACAUGCAAGUCGAGCGAACGGACGAGAAGCUUGCUUCUCUGAUGUUAGCGGCGGACGGGUGAGUAACACGUGGAUAACCUACCUAUAAGACUGGGAUAACUUCGGGAAACCGGAGCUAAUACCGGAUAAUAUUUUGAACCGCAUGGUUCAAAAGUGAAAGACGGUCUUGCUAUCACUUAUAGAUGGAUCCGCGCUGCAUUAGCUAGUUGGUAAGGUAACGGCUUACCAAGGCAACGAUGCAUAGCCGACCUGAGAGGGUGAUCGGCCACACUGGAACUGAGACACGGUCCAGACUCCUACGGGAGGCAGCAGUAGGGAAUCUUCCGCAAUGGGCGAAAGCCUGACGGAGCAACGCCGCGUGAGUGAUGAAGGUCUUCGGAUCGUAAAACUCUGUUAUUAGGGAAGAACAUAUGUGUAAGUAACUGUGCACAUCUUGACGGUACCUAAUCAGAAAGCCACGGCUAACUACGUG